AACGCUGUCGGCGUGCUUAACACAUGCAAGUCGAGCGAAGCGCUUUUGCGGAUUUCUUCGGAUUGAAGCAACUGUGACUGAGCGGCGGACGGGUGAGUAACGCGUGGGUAACCUACCUCAUACAGGGGGAUAACAGUUGGAAACGGCUGCUAAUACCGCAUAAGCGCACAGUACCGCAUGGUACCGUGUGAAAAACUCCGGUGGUAUGAGAUGGACCCGCGUCUGAUUAGCUAGUUGGUGGGGUAACGGCCUACCAAGGCGACGAUCAGUAGCCGACCUGAGAGGGUGACCGGCCACAUUGGGACUGAGACACGGCCCAAACUCCUACGGGAGGCAGCAGUGGGGAAUAUUGCACAAUGGGGGAAACCCUGAUGCAGCGACGCCGCGUGAGCGAUGAAGUAUUUCGGUAUGUAAAGCUCUAUCAGCAGGGAAGAAAAUGACGGUACCUGACUAAGAAGCCCCGGCUAACUACGUGCCAGCAGCCGCGGUAAUACGUAGGGGGCAAGCGUUAUCCGGAUUUACUGGGUGUAAAGGGAGCGUAGACGGCAUGGCAAGCCAGAUGUGAAAGCCCGGGGCUCAACCCCGGGACUGCAUUUGGAACUGUCAGGCUAGAGUGUCGGAGAGGAAAGCGGAAUUCCUAGUGUAGCGGUGAGAUGCGUAGAUAUUAGGAGGAACACCAGUGGCGAAGGCGGCUUUCUGGGACGAUGACUGACUGUUGAGGUUGGAAGGGUGGGGAGCAAACAGGAUUAGGAUAUCAUGGUAAUCCUCGCUGUAGACGAUGGAUACUAGGUGUUGGGUGGCUAAGUUAUUUGGUCUUGCAGCAGACGCAAUAAGUAUUCCACUUGGGGAGUACGUUGGCAAGAAUGAAAAUCAAAGGAAAUGACGGGGGACCCGCACAAGCGGUGGAGCAUGUGGUUUAAUUCGAAGCAACGCGAAGAACCUUACCAAGUCUUUGACAUCCCGAUGACGGAGUAUGUAAUGUACUUUCUCUUCGGCGCAUCGCUGACAGGUGGUGCAUGGUUGUUGUCAGCUCGUGUCGUGAGAUGUUGGGUUAAGUCCCGCAACGAGCGCAACCCCUGUUCUUAGUAGCCAGCGGUUCGGCCGGGCACUCUAGGGAGACUGCCAGGGAUAACUUGGAGGAAGGCGGGGAUGAUGUCAAAUCAUUAUGCCUCUUAUGACUUGGGCUACUCUCGUGCUACAAUGGCGUAAACAAAGGGAAGCGGAGCCGUGAGGCCGAGCAAAUCUCAAAAAUAACGUCUCAGUUCGGACGGUAGUCUGCAACCCGACUACUCGAAGCUGGAAUCGUUAGUAAUCGCAGAUCAGAAUGUUGCG
RNAcentral lists this ribosomal RNA (1332 nucleotides) under uncultured organism. RNAcentral describes it as "SSU rRNA". It matches the Rfam family "Bacterial small subunit ribosomal RNA", at positions 32 to 1361 of the family's 1533-position model. The record is from RNAcentral.